This 460-nucleotide ribosomal RNA is filed under the name uncultured bacterium. RNAcentral's name for it is "partial 16S ribosomal RNA". It matches the Rfam family "Bacterial small subunit ribosomal RNA", at positions 338 to 795 of the family's 1533-position model. The record is from RNAcentral.
CCUACGGGAGGCAGCAGUGAGGAAUAUUGGUCAAUGGGCGGAAGCCUGAACCAGCCAAGUCGCGUGAGGGAUUAAGGCCCUGCGGGUCGUAAACCUCUUUUGCCGGGGAGCAGAGGUCCGGACGUGUCCGGGCCGGGAGAGUACCCGGAGAAAAAGCAUCGGCUAACUCCGUGCCAGCAGCCGCGGUAAUACGGAGGAUGCGAGCGUUAUCCGGAUUUAUUGGGUUUAAAGGGUGCGUAGGCGGGUUAUCAAGUCAGCGGUAAAAUCGUGGAGCUCAACUCCAUCCAGCCGUUGAAACUGAGGAUCUUGAGUGGGCGAGAAGUAUGCGGAAUGCGUGGUGUAGCGGUGAAAUGCAUAGAUAUCACGCAGAACUCCGAUUGCGAAGGCAGCAUACCGGCGCCCGACUGACGCUGAAGCACGAAAGCGUGGGUAUCGAACAGGAUUAGAUACCCCUGUAGUC